GAGCACAGCAGCUUGCUUCCAAGAGAGGACGAUGCAGUGAAAGGGCCUUGCAGCACAUCAAGAUGGCAGAGAGAAUCACUAGAAAAGGGUUCCUCUUCCCCCAACCCAGCCCAGGAUCUGUGAAUGGAACUGCUCCAAGCCUGAAGAUAAAUAAAGCGAUAGCAAGGGCAUUUCCACAAGGCAGCCAAGGAAUUUGAAAGAGGAAGGAGAAACUGGGACCCCAAUGAGCCAUUUCCCUGUAUCCUGCUGUCCGCUGGCUCUGUAUAACACACAGAAAACAGUGAGUUACACAAGCUUUUGUAGGAACCAAGUUGCUGGCAUUGCUACAUGCAAGAGCACACACCAGCUGGGAUGACAAGAAGCACCGCGGGUCUCAUCUAACCAGCCAUGGCUCCCUUCGACUCUUGGAAAGAACAAACCUCCCAGUCACGUUGUUCACUUUACAGGAAGGGGGAAAAAUCCUUUUGCAGUGCACAAAACUGUGAAUAAUCAAUUUGUCAGUUUAGCCAUCAAACUGAGAAGCUGAAAACUUUUUGGUUUGAGCUGGUUUGAAACUUUAUUUUUGUCCAGGUUUCCUUAGACACGAAAAAGAUAUCAAUUCCCAAAUGAGGCACGGAAAGCCUCACACAAAAGCACUCAUUUAGUGUUCAAAAGUGGAAAACGGUCCUUCUAUACCUCUUUCUGGGAAGCACUCUGCAAACCUCAAAGCAUUUCUCAAAACUGAUGAGCUGCAGGGAGAGUUUGCUGCCUCCUCCCCAAGACCUGGGCACCAGUGCGUGGUCCAUUGACUCACAGCCCUCUGAUGACCACUUCUGAUGGCCUCUGCAGCACGGAAAUGGCAUUUUCCC
This is a long non-coding RNA of Cygnus atratus (black swan), 848 nucleotides long. RefSeq lists it as uncharacterized. The transcript is spliced from 3 exons. The record is from RefSeq and is a predicted model, not a curated record. Lineage: Eukaryota; Metazoa; Chordata; Aves; Anseriformes; Anatidae.